Long non-coding RNA from Conger conger (European conger), 296 nucleotides. RefSeq lists it as uncharacterized. Lineage: Eukaryota; Metazoa; Chordata; Actinopteri; Anguilliformes; Congridae. The transcript is spliced from 3 exons. The record is from RefSeq and is a predicted model, not a curated record.
GUCAGAUCAUGCUAAUUGGAUUAUGUGCGCUGUGUGCCAAUGAGAGCCUGCAUAAUGCAAUGGUGUCUGUUCUCACAGCGGGGGGGACUCUGUUUCAACCACACACGCAGCGCAGAUGUGGAGGGUAGUGUACCCCCAGCCUCUGUUUGGUUCAGACAGCACCUGGACUCCAGCUUCCUGGCCUGCUCUAUUUACGACAACAUAACCGCGUGCCAGCUUCUCGCUAACCUGGUGCUGCUGGAUCCAGCGGGAGAGACCUCUAAAGCCUUCAAUCUUUACCGAAAAGCAGCGUUGCA